CAGGCCUAACACAUGCAAGUCGAACGAUGGUCUUCGGAUCAUAGUGGCGCACGGGUGCGUAACGCGUGGGAAUCUGCCCCUUGGUUCGGGAUAACUUCUGGAAACGGAAGCUAAUACCGGAUGAUGACGAAAGUCCAAAGAUUUAUCGCCAUGGGAUGAGCCCGCGUCGGAUUAGCUAGUUGGUGGGGUAAAGGCCUACCAAGGCGACGAUCCGUAGCUGGUCUGAGAGGAUGAUCAGCCACACUGGGACUGAGACACGGCCCAGACUCCUACGGGAGGCAGCAGUAAGGAAUAUUGGUCAAUGGGCGCAAGCCUGAACCAGCCAUGCCGCGUGCAGGAAGACGGCCCUACGGGUUGUAAACUGCUUUUGCGCCGGAAUAAACCCCCUUUCGUGAAAGGGGCUGAAUGUACGGCGAGAAUAAGGAUCGGCUAACUCCGUGCCAGCAGCCGCGGUAAU
This 457-nucleotide ribosomal RNA is filed under the name uncultured bacterium. RNAcentral's name for it is "bacterial SSU rRNA". It matches the Rfam family "Bacterial small subunit ribosomal RNA", at positions 43 to 524 of the family's 1533-position model. The record is from RNAcentral.